RNAcentral lists this ribosomal RNA (425 nucleotides) under uncultured bacterium. RNAcentral describes it as "partial 16S ribosomal RNA". It matches the Rfam family "Bacterial small subunit ribosomal RNA", at positions 354 to 796 of the family's 1533-position model. The record is from RNAcentral.
GUGGGGAAUCUUGCGCAAUGGGCGAAAGCCUGACGCAGCCAUGCCGCGUGAAUGAUGAAGGUCUUAGGAUUGUAAAAUUCUUUCACCGGGGACGAUAAUGACGGUACCCGGAGAAGAAGCCCCGGCUAACUUCGUGCCAGCAGCCGCGGUAAUACGAAGGGGGCUAGCGUUGCUCGGAAUUACUGGGCGUAAAGGGCGCGUAGGCGGACAGUUUAGUCAGAGGUGAAAGCCCAGGGCUCAACCUUGGAAUUGCCUUUGAUACUGGCUGUCUUGAGUACGGGAGAGGUGAGUGGAACUCCGAGUGUAGAGGUGAAAUUCGUAGAUAUUCGGAAGAACACCAGUGGCGAAGGCGACUCACUGGCCCGUUACUGACGCUGUGGCGCGAAAGCGUGGGGAGCAAACAGGAUUAGAAACCCUAGUAGUCC